UACGUAGGGGCCGAGCGUUAUCCGGAGUUAUUGGGCGUAAAGCGCGCGCAGGCGGCCUCGCGCGCCCGACGUGAAAGCCCCCGGCUUAACCGGGGAGGGUCGUUGGGGACGGCGGGGCUUGAGGGCGGGAGAGGUCGGUGGAAUUCCCGGUGUAGUGGUGAAAUGCGUAGAGAUCGGGAGGAACACCUGUGGCGAAGGCGGCCGACUGGGCCGACCCUGACGCUGAGGCGCGAAGGCGUGGGGAGCGAACGGG
RNAcentral lists this ribosomal RNA (253 nucleotides) under uncultured bacterium. Its description in RNAcentral is "partial 16S ribosomal RNA". It matches the Rfam family "Bacterial small subunit ribosomal RNA", at positions 524 to 776 of the family's 1533-position model. The record is from RNAcentral.